GCAGCCACCUUUUAAAACGCGUCAAAGCGUAACCUUAGCCCCCAAAAUACCAUUAAUUUUCAUGAACCCCUAAUCUAUAAUGAAUGACUCCAUAUUUAUAUGGAAGACACCAUGCUAGGAUUAGUAACAAGAAUUUAUAAUUCUCCAAAAUGCAAAUAUAAACCAACAUGGAUGGACCAUUGGUAGUUACCGAACCUAAAUUCAAUGCAACAACACCUACAAGAAAACUCUGCAGUACUUACUCGUUAACCUAACACCAGCGCAUUACAGGAAAGAUUUAAAAAAAGAGAAGGAAUUCGGCAAAUGACGGCCCCGCCUGUUUACCAAAAACAUCGCCUCUUGACUUAUAAUAAGAGGUCCAGCCUGCCCAGUGAAUUUUAAACGGCCGCGGUAUCCUAACCGCGCGAAGGUAGCAUAAUCACUUGUUCUUUAAAUGGGGACUCGUAUCAACGGCAUCACGAGGGUUUUACUGUCUCCUCUUUUUGAUCAGUGAAAUUGAUCUUCCCGUGAAGAAGCGGGAAUAAAUUUAUAAGACGAGAAGACCCCAUGGAGCUUUAAACCAAAUAACAACUUAACCACUUAUCCCAUAAUAAAUUUAAGCCCUGUUAUAAGGUUUUUGGUUGGGGUGACCGCGGAGUAAAACACAUCCUCCACGACGAAAAAAACAGAAUUUUUAUUUAAGAACCACACUUCUAGAAAUUAGUAUACUAACGUUUACUGACCCGACAAUCGAUCAACGGACCAAGUUACCCUGGGGAUAACAGCGCAAUCUACUUCAAGAGCUCAUAUCGACAAGUAGGCUUACGACCUCGAUGUUGGAUCAGGGUAUCCCGGUGGUGCAGCCGCUACCGAAGGUUCGUUUGUUCAACGAUUAAAACCCUACGUGAUC
Molecule: ribosomal RNA, 889 nt
Filed under: Polypedates leucomystax (Java whipping frog)
Lineage: Eukaryota; Metazoa; Chordata; Amphibia; Anura; Rhacophoridae
Description: partial 16S ribosomal RNA
Rfam family: Bacterial large subunit ribosomal RNA
Source: RNAcentral